RNAcentral lists this long non-coding RNA (335 nucleotides) under Polistes fuscatus (common paper wasp). Its description in RNAcentral is "uncharacterized LOC122516918". The record is from RNAcentral. Lineage: Eukaryota; Metazoa; Arthropoda; Insecta; Hymenoptera; Vespidae.
GUGCAUUAGGAGUAGUAACCAUGCUUUCUCUCUCUCCCUUUUUUUUCUGUUUUCUUUGGAACCAAGCAAAAUGGAAUUUCAACGACAUAAGUUUCUCAUUAUUUCUCGAUAUGUAGGUUAAUCGAACACAUUAAACGGGGAGAGGUGGUCUUCGAAGCGAGAUUGAUCGAGCGGAAAUGAUCAAGAUUAAACUAUUUCUCUGUACAUAAAGCAACACAUAGAACAUAUCGUCAUCGAUGUAUGUAGCCAUACUAACAUAAGUUAUUACCAUAAACAACGAUUCUUGCGGUGUAGCUGCAACCAGUCACUGGUGCGGUAACGUGGGCGACAGAAAA